UAACACGUAGGAACGUACCCCAAAGUGAGGGAUAAGCACCAGAAAUGGUGUCUAAUACCGCAUGUGCUCUAAGGAGUAAAGCUUUACGCGCUUUGGGAACGGCCUGCGCAUGAUUAGCUUGUUGGUGAGGUAAAAGCUCACCAAGGCGACGAUCAUUAGCUGGUCUGAGAGGAUGAUCAGCCAGACUGGGACUGAGACACGGCCCAG
This 207-nucleotide ribosomal RNA is filed under the name uncultured bacterium. RNAcentral's name for it is "partial 16S ribosomal RNA". It matches the Rfam family "Bacterial small subunit ribosomal RNA", at positions 111 to 334 of the family's 1533-position model. The record is from RNAcentral.